GGGCUUGAUUGCGAAAUCCCCAGCUAACCAGAUAGACUGUCUGCUGUGCCUCCCAAACAUAUAGCCCAAAAAAAACCUUUUCCUGGACAGCACCCUCACACUAAUAUAUACAUAUAUAAUCGCCCAUACUGUCCAAAUAGCACCCUGAUCAGAGGAUCCAUGCCGAAGUUAUAGCAUAUUAACGAUUGACCAGGUCGUGGCUAUUCUUUGAUCCAACUUACAGUUCCAGGCGUGUGGCUGUUUUUCCUUGGUCUUACAAAAAGGGGUUACUAAGGCCCGGGAAGGCUGGCAC
Molecule: non-coding RNA, 292 nt
Organism: Pelobates cultripes (western spadefoot toad)
Lineage: Eukaryota; Metazoa; Chordata; Amphibia; Anura; Pelobatidae
Source: the annotation of a GenBank genome assembly